This 463-nucleotide ribosomal RNA is filed under the name uncultured bacterium. RNAcentral's name for it is "bacterial SSU rRNA". It matches the Rfam family "Bacterial small subunit ribosomal RNA", at positions 917 to 1382 of the family's 1533-position model. The record is from RNAcentral.
GGGCCCGCACAAGCGGUGGAGCAUGUGGUUCAAUUCGACGCAACGCGAAGAACCUUACCUGGGCUCGAAAUGUAGUGGACCGGGGUGGAAACAUCCCUUCCCGCAAGGGCUGCUAUAUAGGUGCUGCAUGGCUGUCGUCAGCUCGUGUCGUGAGAUGUUGGGUUAAGUCCCGCAACGAGCGCAACCCUUAUUGCCAGUUGCCAUCAUUUAGUUGGGCACUCUGGCGAAACUGCCCCGGAUAACGGGGAGGAAGGUGGGGAUGACGUCAAGUCCUCAUGGCCUUUAUGUCCAGGGCUACACACGUGCUACAAUGGGUGGUACAAACCGUCGCAAACCCGCGAGGGGGAGCUAAUCGGAAAAAGCCAUCCUCAGUUCGGAUUGGAGUCUGCAACUCGACUCCAUGAAGCUGGAAUCGCUAGUAAUCGCGGAUCAGAACGCCGCGGUGAAUACGUUCCCGGGCCUU